This 104-nucleotide microRNA precursor is filed under the name Marmota monax (woodchuck). Lineage: Eukaryota; Metazoa; Chordata; Mammalia; Rodentia; Sciuridae. The record is from RNAcentral.
AAUGGGAUAACUGGGUCAAAUGGUGGUUCUGUUCCAAAGUUUUCUGAGGAAUCUCCACACUGCUUUCCAGAGUGGUGGCACCAAUUUGCAGUCCCACCAGCCAU